UUAAGCGACUAAGCGUACACGGUGGAUGCCUAGGCAAUCAGAGGCGAUGAAGGACGUGCUAAUCUGCGAAAAGCGUCGGUAAGGUGAUAUGAACCGUUAUAACCGACGAUGUCCGAAUGGGGAAACCCAGUGCAAUUCGUUGCACUAUCGUUUGAUGAAUCCAUAGUCAAACGAGGCGAACCGGGGGAACUGAAACAUCUCAGUACCCCGAGGAAAAGAAAUCAACCGAGAUUCCCCUAGUAGCGGCGAGCGAACGGGGAGCAGCCCAGAGUCUUAAUCAGCAUCAGCAUCAGGAGAACGGUCUGGAAAGGCCGGCAAUAAAGGGUGAUAGCCCCGUAUCCGAAGGUGUUGGUGUUGUGAACUCGACGAGUAGGGCGGGACACGUGUUAUCCUGUCUGAAUAUGGGGGGACCAUCCUCCAAGGCUAAAUACUCCUGAUUGACCGAUAGUGAACCAGUACCGUGAGGGAAAGGCGAAAAGAACCCCGGCGAGGGGAGUGAAAUAGAACCUGAAACCGUGUACGUACAAGCAGUGGGAGCCUUGAUUUAUCAGGGUGACUGCGUACCUUUUGUAUAAUGGGUCAGCGACUUAUAUUCUGUAGCAAGGUUAACCGAAUAGGGGAGCCGUAGGGAAACCGAGUCUUAACUGGGCGAAUGAGUUGCAGGGUAUAGACCCGAAACCCGGUGAUCUAGCCAUGGGCAGGUUGAAGGUUGGGUAACACUAACUGGAGGACCGAACCGACUAAUGUUGAAAAAUUAGCGGAUGACUUGUGGCUGGGGGUGAAAGGCCAAUCAAACCGGGAGAUAGCUGGUUCUCCCCGAAAGCUAUUUAGGUAGCGCCUCGUGAACUCAUCUUCGGGGGUAGAGCACUGUUUCGGCUAGGGGGUCAUCCCGACUUACCAACCCGAUGCAAACUACGAAUACCGAAGAAUGUUAUCACGGGAGACACACGGCGGGUGCUAACGUUCGUCGUGAAGAGGGAAACAACCCAGACCGCCAGCUAAGGUCCCAAAGUCAUGGUUAAGUGGGAAACGAAGUGGGAAGGCUCAGACAGCCAGGAUGUUGGCUUAGAAGCAGCCAUCAUUUAAAGAAAGCGUAAUAGCUCACUGGUCGAGUCGGCCUGCGCGGAAGAUGUAACGGGGCUAAACCAUGCACCGAAGCUGCGGCAGCGACAUGUAAAUGUUGUUGGGUAGGGGAGCGUUCUGUAAGCCUGUGAAGGUGUGCUGCGAGGCAUGCUGGAGGUAUCAGAAGUGCGAAUGCUGACAUAAGUAACGAUAAUGCGGGUGAAAAACCCGCACGCCGGAAGACCAAGGGUUCCUGUCCAACGUUAAUCGGGGCAGGGUGAGUCGACCCCUAAGGCGAGGCAGAAAUGCGUAGUCGAUGGGAAACAGGUUAAUAUUCCUGUACUGGUGAUAAUUGCGAUGGGGGGACGGAGAAGGCUAGGCUGGCCGGGCGACGGUUGUCCCGGUUUAAGGAUGUAGGUGGGUGAAUUAGGCAAAUCCGGUUCACUGUACACUGAGGUCUGAUGACGAGUCACUACGGUGGCGAAGUAGCUCAUGCCCCGCUUCCAGGAAAAGCCUCUAAGCUCUAGAUUAUCAUUAAUCGUACCCCAAACCGACACAGGUGGUCAGGUAGAGAAUACUCAGGCGCUUGAGAGAACUCGGGUGAAGGAACUAGGCAAAAUGGUGCCGUAACUUCGGGAGAAGGCACGCUGGCAUUAGGUGAAGUGGUUUACCCAUGGAGCUGAAGCCAGUCGCAGAUACCAGCUGGCUGCAACUGUUUAUUAAAAACACAGCACUGUGCAAACACGAAAGUGGACGUAUACGGUGUGACGCCUGCCCGGUGCUGGAAGGUUAAUUGAUGGGGUUAUCCGUAAGGAGAAGCUCUUGAUCGAAGCCCCAGUAAACGGCGGCCGUAACUAUAACGGUCCUAAGGUAGCGAAAUUCCUUGUCGGGUAAGUUCCGACCUGCACGAAUGGCGUAAUGAUGGCCAGGCUGUCUCCACCCGAGACUCAGUGAAAUUGAACUCGCUGUGAAGAUGCAGUGUACCCGCGGCAAGACGGAAAGACCCCGUGAACCUUUACUAUAGCUUGACACUGAACAUUGAGCCUUGAUGUGUAGGAUAGGUGGGAGGCUUUGAAGUGUGGACGCCAGUCUGCAUGGAGCCAACCUUGAAAUACCACCCUUUAAUGUUUGAUGUUCUAACGUUGCCCCAUAAUCUGGGGUGCGGACAGUGUCUGGUGGGUAGUUUGACUGGGGCGGUCUCCUCCCAAAGCGUAACGGAGGAGCACGAAGGUUGGCUAAGCAUGGUCGGACAUCAUGCGGUUAGUGCAAAGGCAUAAGCCAGCUUGACUGCGAGAGUGACGGCUCGAGCAGGUACGAAAGUAGGUCUUAGUGAUCCGGUGGUUCUGAAUGGAAGGGCCAUCGCUCAACGGAUAAAAGGUACUCCGGGGAUAACAGGCUGAUACCGCCCAAGAGUUCAUAUCGACGGCGGUGUUUGGCACCUCGAUGUCGGCUCAUCACAUCCUGGGGCUGAAGUAGGUCCCAAGGGUAUGGCUGUUCGCCAUUUAAAGUGGUACGCGAGCUGGGUUUAGAACGUCGUGAGACAGUUCGGUCCCUAUCUGCCGUGGGCGUUGGAAGAUUGAAAGGGGCUGCUCCUAGUACGAGAGGACCGGAGUGGACGCACCGCUGGUGUUCGGGUUGUCAUGCCAAUGGCACUGCCCGGUAGCUAAGUGCGGAAGAGAUAACCGCUGAAAGCAUCUAAGCGGGAAACUUGCCUUGAGAUGAGUCUUCCCUGACUCUUUAAGGGUCCUAAAGGAACGUUUAAGACGAAGACGUUGAUAGGCUGGGUGUGUAAGCGUAGCGAUACGUUGAGCUAACCAGUACUAAUGAACCGUGAGGCUUAACCUG
This 2907-nucleotide ribosomal RNA is filed under the name Providencia stuartii. RNAcentral describes it as "bacterial LSU rRNA". It matches the Rfam family "Bacterial large subunit ribosomal RNA". Lineage: Bacteria; Pseudomonadati; Pseudomonadota; Gammaproteobacteria; Enterobacterales; Morganellaceae. The record is from RNAcentral.